Wasmannia auropunctata (little fire ant) is the source of this 461-nucleotide long non-coding RNA. RefSeq lists it as uncharacterized. NCBI's taxonomy places the organism in Eukaryota, Metazoa, Arthropoda, Insecta, Hymenoptera, Formicidae. The transcript is spliced from 2 exons. The record is from RefSeq and is a predicted model, not a curated record.
ACUCCGCUGAUAGGAGGCUAACGUGUCGGAGACAGUGCCGUCCGGCCAAGCAUCACACAAACGGAGUGUGACCGGGCCGACGGUUCGUUGGCGGAGGCAGAGAUCAAUGUGAAUGAAUCGUACGCGCGGUACAUGUUUACUUGGAGAGGCACGAGUACAUCUUCGGACGAUUUCAUCAUACAGAUUCCCAUAGAUAUUCACCACGAAGGCGCUGAAAAUUGUCUCCCAAGGAUGCGUUUGUAUUCCCAUCCAAUUGUGUCAUCCAAUCAUCACAGCAUAGAUAAUACAAGCUAUAGAUUGUCAGCUGUCAGCGCAUUUCAGAACGCACCUCACAUAAGUUUGUUCUAUUUAACUGUAUUAAAACAGCAAGGAACAAAUUGGACAAACGAGACUAGCAUAAAUUUUCAUGAAUGAAAGUGGAAUAAAAAGGGAAUAAAAAGAUUUCAGAUCGACAUGAUAAA